RNAcentral lists this ribosomal RNA (438 nucleotides) under uncultured bacterium. RNAcentral describes it as "bacterial SSU rRNA". It matches the Rfam family "Bacterial small subunit ribosomal RNA", at positions 61 to 508 of the family's 1533-position model. The record is from RNAcentral.
GUCGAACGAGGUCCAUCCGGUAGCAAUACCGGUGAAGACCUAGUGGCGAACGGGUGAGUAACACGUGAGCAACCUGCCCCGAAGACCGGGACAACACCGGGAAACCGGUGCUAAUACUGGAUAUCCCCAUCGGAUCGCAUGGUUUGAUGAGGAAAUGGAUUCCGCUUCGGGAGGGGCUCGCGGCCUAUCAGCUAGUUGGUGAGGUAACGGCUCACCAAGGCUUCGACGGGUAGCUGGUCUGAGAGGACGAUCAGCCACACUGGGACUGAGACACGGCCCAGACUCCUACGGGAGGCAGCAGUGGGGAAUCUUGCACAAUGGGCGAAAGCCUGAUGCAGCAACGCCGCGUGAGGGACGAAGGCUUUCUGAGUUGUAAACCUCUUUCAGCAGGGACGAUUAUGACGGUACCUGCAGAAGAAGCACCGGCCAACUACGUGC